CUUCUUUUUCCACCGGAGCUUGCUCCACCGGAAAAAGAGGAGUGGCGAACGGGUGAGUAACACGUGGGUAACCUGCCCUCAAGCGGGGGAUAACACUUGGAAACAGGUGCUAAUACCGCAUAAUAUUAAUGAACACAUGUUUAUUAUUUGAAAGGCGCUUUUGCGUCACUUGAGGAUGGACCCGCGGUGCAUUAGCUAGUUGGUGAGGUAACGGCUCACCAAGGCCACGAUGCAUAGCCGACCUGAGAGGGUGAUCGGCCACACUGGGACUGAGACACGGCCCAGACUCCUACGGGAGGCAGCAGUAGGGAAUCUUCGGCAAUGGACGAAAGUCUGACCGAGCAACGCCGCGUGAGUGAAGAAGGUUUUCGGAUCGUAAAACUCUGUUGUUAGAGAAGAACAAGGAUGAGAGUAAAAUGUUCAUCCCUUGACGGUAUCUAA
RNAcentral lists this ribosomal RNA (441 nucleotides) under Enterococcus dispar. RNAcentral's name for it is "bacterial SSU rRNA". It matches the Rfam family "Bacterial small subunit ribosomal RNA", at positions 69 to 482 of the family's 1533-position model. The record is from RNAcentral. Lineage: Bacteria; Bacillati; Bacillota; Bacilli; Lactobacillales; Enterococcaceae.